GGUUGCUGUGACAGACUGCCCCAGGGUGCAACCUGGAACUGAGAUACUGCUGAGCCCUCUGGGCCCCCUCUCAAGCUGUGAGGCUGUGACAAGCUACAGUCCUCUCCAGGACUUGCACUGAUACAGCCAUACACAAACAGGGACACACCCAGCUGCAGUUACAUGAAUGCUUUCUCUAACCAGUCACUCAUAAACCAACAAUAGAGAGGCUUCAGCCAGCCCCGCACCCCAGCUCCCCAGCCUCGGACCCCAGACCUCUACUAUCUUGCUCUGGUCAAAAGUGGCAUCUAUGUGCCUGCUGAGCAGAAAUGGAAGUGACAAAAUACCAAAAGAAGCAAUGAUCCUUGUAUUUCUGCACUCACCAGAAUGAGGAAAUACUGGAAAUCUAGACUAUCCAGAUGAGGAGCAUGCAAUAAACUGAGGGAGGUGAGA
Molecule: long non-coding RNA, 432 nt
Organism: Trachemys scripta elegans
Lineage: Eukaryota; Metazoa; Chordata; Testudines; Emydidae
Exons: 3
Source: RefSeq, a predicted model, not a curated record